UAAGCCACCGAAAGGUGGUCUAAUACUUCAUAAUAUCCAUCUCGUAUGGAUUAAAGCUUUAUGCGCUUUGGGAGGGGCCUGCGUAACAUUAGCUUGUUGGUGAGGUAAAAGCUCACCCAAGGCUUCGAUGUUUAACUGGUUUGAGAGGAUGACCAGUCACACUGGGACUGAGAUACGGCCCAGACUCCUACGGGAGGCAGCAGUAAGGAAUCUUCCACAAUGGGACAACCCUGAUGGAGCAAUACCGCGUGCAGGAUGAAGCGUUUCGGCGUGUAAACUGCUUUUAUCACCGAAGAUUAUGACUGUAGGUGAAGAAUAAGGACCGGCUAACUACGUG
RNAcentral lists this ribosomal RNA (337 nucleotides) under uncultured bacterium. RNAcentral describes it as "bacterial SSU rRNA". It matches the Rfam family "Bacterial small subunit ribosomal RNA", at positions 144 to 507 of the family's 1533-position model. The record is from RNAcentral.